GACGAACGCUGGCGGCGUGCCUAAUACAUGCAAGUAGAACGCUGAAGGAGGAGCUUGCUUCUCUGGAUGAGUUGCGAACGGGUGAGUAACGCGUAGGUAACCUGCCUGGUAGCGGGGGAUAACUAUUGGAAACGAUAGCUAAUACCGCAUAAUAGUAGAUGUUGCAUGACAUUUGCUUAAAAGGUGCAAUUGCAUCACUACCAGAUGGACCUGCGUUGUAUUAGCUAGUUGGUGAGGUAACGGCUCACCAAGGCAACGAUACAUAGCCGACCUGAGAGGGUGAUCGGCCACACUGGGACUGAGACACGGCCCAGACUCCUACGGGAGGCAGCAGUAGGGAAUCUUCGGCAAUGGACGGAAGUCUGACCGAGCAACGCCGCGUGAGUGAAGAAGGUUUUCGGAUCGUAAAGCUCUGUUGUAAGAGAAGAACGAGUGUGAGAGUGGAAAGUUCACACUGUGACGGCAUCUUACCAGAAAGGGACGGCUAACUACGUG
RNAcentral lists this ribosomal RNA (495 nucleotides) under uncultured bacterium. Its description in RNAcentral is "partial 16S ribosomal RNA". It matches the Rfam family "Bacterial small subunit ribosomal RNA", at positions 28 to 507 of the family's 1533-position model. The record is from RNAcentral.